RNAcentral lists this ribosomal RNA (494 nucleotides) under uncultured bacterium. Its description in RNAcentral is "partial 16S ribosomal RNA". It matches the Rfam family "Bacterial small subunit ribosomal RNA", at positions 28 to 507 of the family's 1533-position model. The record is from RNAcentral.
GACGAACGCUGGCGGCGUGCUUAACACAUGCAAGUCGAACGGAAAGGCCUGCUUUCCCUUGUGGAUUGCGGGUACUCGAGUGGCGAACGGGUGAGUAACACGUGAGUGAUCUGCCCCCAACUUGGGUAUAAGCCUGGGAAACUGGGUCUAAUUCCCGAUAGGACUGCAGGGUGGUGCCUGUGGUGGAAAACGAUUUUCUAGUGGUUGGGGAUGAGCUCGCGGCCUAUCAGCUUGUUGGUGGGGUAAUGGCCUACCAAGGCGGCGACGGGUAGCCGGCCUGAGAGGGUGGACGACCACAUUGGGACUGAGAUACGGCCCAGACUCCUACGGGAGGCAGCAGUGGGGAAUAUUGCACAAUGGGCGGAAGCCUGAUGCAGCGACGCCGCGUGGGGGAUGACGGCCUUCGGGUUGUAAACUCCUUUCGACCGCGAGGAAGCCACCUGGUUGGAAGGGUGGUGACGGUAGUGGUAGAAGAAGCACCGGCUAACUACGUG